ACGUAGGAGGCAAGCGUUAUCCGGAGUUACUGGGCGUAAAGGGCGUGCAGGCGGUUGGCUAAGUUCGUUGUGAAAGCGCCCAGGCUUAACCGGGCGAGGACAAUGAAGACUGGUCAGCUAGAGGACGGUAGAGGGGUGUGGAAUUCCGCGUGUAGCAGUGAAAUGCGUAGAGAUGCGGAGGAACACCGAUGGCGAAGGCAGCCUCCUGGGAUGACACUGACGCUCAUGCACGAAAGCGUGGGGAGCAAACAG
Molecule: ribosomal RNA, 252 nt
Filed under: uncultured prokaryote
Description: partial 16S ribosomal RNA
Rfam family: Bacterial small subunit ribosomal RNA
Source: RNAcentral